This 484-nucleotide ribosomal RNA is filed under the name uncultured bacterium. RNAcentral describes it as "partial 16S ribosomal RNA". It matches the Rfam family "Bacterial small subunit ribosomal RNA", at positions 30 to 507 of the family's 1533-position model. The record is from RNAcentral.
AUUGAACGCUGGCGGCAGGCCUAACACAUGCAAGUCGAGCGGAUGAAGGGAGCUUGCUCCUGGAUUCAGCGGCGGACGGGUGAGUAAUGCCUAGGAAUCUGCCUGGUUGUGGGGGAUAACGUCCGGAAACGGGCGCUAAUACCGCAUACGUCCUGAGGGAGAAAGUGGGGGAUCUUCGGACCUCACGCUCUCAGAUGAGCCUAGGUCGGAUUAGCUAGUUGGUGGGGUAAAGGCCUACCAAGGCGACGAUCCGUAACUGGUCUGAGAGGAUGAUCAGUCACACUGGAACUGAGACACGGUCCAGACUCCUACGGGAGGCAGCAGUGGGGAAUAUUGGACAAUGGGCGAAAGCCUGAUCCAGCCAUGCCGCGUGUGUGACGAAGGUCUUCGGAUUGUAAAGCACUUUAAGUUGGGAGGAAGGGCAGUAAGUUAAUACCUUGCUGUUUUGACGUUACCAACAGAAGAAGCACCGGCUAACUUCGUG